RNAcentral lists this ribosomal RNA (191 nucleotides) under Providencia rettgeri. RNAcentral describes it as "partial 23S ribosomal RNA". It matches the Rfam family "Bacterial large subunit ribosomal RNA", at positions 2740 to 2925 of the family's 2925-position model. Lineage: Bacteria; Pseudomonadati; Pseudomonadota; Gammaproteobacteria; Enterobacterales; Morganellaceae. The record is from RNAcentral.
GCCCGGUAGCUAAGUGCGGAAGAGAUAACCGCUGAAAGCAUCUAAGCGGGAAACUUGCCUUGAGAUGAGUCUUCCCUGACUCUUUAAGGGUCCUAAAGGAACGUUUAAGACUAAGACGUUGAUAGGUUGGGUGUGUAAGCGUAGCGAUACGUUGAGCUAACCAAUACUAAUGAACCGUGAGGCUUAACCUG